Molecule: ribosomal RNA, 446 nt
Filed under: uncultured bacterium
Lineage: Bacteria
Description: partial 16S ribosomal RNA
Rfam family: Bacterial small subunit ribosomal RNA
Source: RNAcentral
CCUACGGGUGGCAGCAGUCGAGAAUCAUUCACAAUGGGGGAAACCCUGAUGGUGCGACGCCGCGUGGGGGAAUGAAGGUCUUCGGAUUGUAAACCCCUGUCAUGUGGGAGCAAAUUAAAAAGAUAGUACCACAAGAGGAAGAGACGGCUAACUCUGUGCCAGCAGCCGCGGUAAUACAGAGGUCUCAAGCGUUGUGCGGAAUCACUGGGCGUAAAGCGUGCGUAGGAUGUUUCGUAAGUCGUGUGUGAAAGGCGCGGGCUCAACCCGCGGACGGCACAUGAUACUGCGAGACUAGAGUAAGGGAGGGGGAAGCGGAAUUCUCGGUGUAGCAGUGAAAUGCGUAGAUAUCGAGAGGAACACUCGUGGCGAAGGCGGGUUCCUGGACAUUAACUGACGCUGAGGCACGAAGGCCAGGGGAGCGAAAGGGAUUAGAUACCCUGGUAGUC